Molecule: long non-coding RNA, 1129 nt
Organism: Scleropages formosus (Asian bonytongue)
Lineage: Eukaryota; Metazoa; Chordata; Actinopteri; Osteoglossiformes; Osteoglossidae
Exons: 3
Source: RefSeq, a predicted model, not a curated record
GGAGCUGCAUAAACUGUGAUGUGAGAUAAGGGCAGAUCCCUUGGACGUUCUACAGGAGCUAUCUGUGGGACCGGGUUACAGCUUCUCUGUGUCCAACGCCACUCCCAGGCUCCUGAUCAAGCGUCUGAGCUCUGAUACUACAGUCUUCUGGGCACAGGUCCAGUUCCUUAUCUACUGUACCAGCUGCGCGAAUCGGUUUUGUCCUGCAUGGGUGCUGGUGUGGCAGAACUGCUCUGCUCUUAUCUGUUCAGCUCCACCCCUCCUGCCCAUGGCUGGAGUCCCCCAGUGCCACUCUCCACAGCCAACUCCUGGGGUCUGCGGUCCACCAUGUUCCCCCAGCCUGGGAGGGUGCUGGGAUGGUCCCGUACUUUAUUGUGGUGAUACUCUACGAUGCUCAUAAUGUAGUUUCAAAAAUGGCUUAAAAUGAACUCCUACACUCUGAGGUUUGUACAUUACGCUCUUUACAGCGUUUUACUCAUGUACGCAGCAAGCUAUUUUGUACCGUAUCAGUUCAAGUACCUCGAUCAGGGGUAUUACAGCAGGAAGUGUGAUUCAAAGCAAAGUCUUUUUAAUUCAAGGUGAGCACACCAACUGCUACGCCACCUACUGACCACAAAGCAGAUCAGUAGAUUUUUAAUUUCGAUCAUCAGCACAACCAAAAAUUCUUUUUUUUUUUUUUUUUUUUAAAAAGCUGGAAUGGCACUACACAAAGGUUCCCUCUGCAGUUGAGCAGUUGUACCAUUUAUGAACCUGGCUGGUUAAUGAUAAACAUGGUACGAUUAGUAACUGGUCUCUUUAAAGUGACAGCGCAGCUCACUGAGGGGACACCUCCGACCGCACUGCAGUACAAGUGUACAGUACAGGAGUGUAGCAACCACCUUCAAGCCUUAGUGAAGCCAGUCUGAAAGACGGAGGAUGGUCCACAUAUGUGAAGCGACAGCGCCUCCCACUGGCCCGUCAGCAAAACAUACUGCUCCCUAGUCCUGCUCCAGCCACAGGUUGUUGGACGUGGGGACAGAGCCCCGCUCGAACCGUGGGCGGUGUCGCAGGCUGCUGUGCUGCUCCAGCAUGAGGCAGAGGCCCCUGAUGUAGACGGACCCAGUGGCCUGGUUUCUCCAGGAGAAGUAGC